This 468-nucleotide ribosomal RNA is filed under the name uncultured bacterium. Its description in RNAcentral is "partial 16S ribosomal RNA". It matches the Rfam family "Bacterial small subunit ribosomal RNA", at positions 28 to 507 of the family's 1533-position model. The record is from RNAcentral.
GACGAACGCUGGCGGCGUGCUUAACACAUGCAAGUCGAACGGAAAGGCCCUGCUUUUGUGGGGUGCUCGAGUGGCGAACGGGUGAGUAACACGUGAGUAACCUGCCCUUGACUUUGGGAUAACUUCAGGAAACUGGGGCUAAUACCGGAUAGGAGCUCCUGCUGCAUGGUGGGGGUUGGAAAGUUUCGGCGGUUGGGGAUGGACUCGCGGCUUAUCAGCUUGUUGGUGGGGUAGUGGCUUACCAAGGCUUUGACGGGUAGCCGGCCUGAGAGGGUGACCGGCACAAUUGGGAAGGAGAGACGGCCCAGACGCCUCGGGGAGGCAGAGGGGGGGAAUAUUGCACAAGGGGCGGAGGCCUGAAGCAGCACCGCCGGGUGCGGGAUGCCGGCCUUCGGGUUGUAAACCGCUUUCGCCUGUGACGAAGGGGGAGUGAGGGUAAUGGGUAAAGAAGCACCGGCUAACUACGGG